RNAcentral lists this ribosomal RNA (318 nucleotides) under Triticum aestivum (bread wheat). RNAcentral's name for it is "partial small subunit ribosomal RNA". The record is from RNAcentral. Lineage: Eukaryota; Viridiplantae; Streptophyta; Magnoliopsida; Poales; Poaceae.
AUGGCUCUUUUGACGGCAGAGGUGACUUGGUUACGGUGGUUAUUUCAGGAGUUUGGUGUUUCUAUCACUACACCUACUCUGCCUUGUUUGACAGUACAAGUGCUAUUAGUAUUGCCCGUGACCUUGUUAAGCAUGAGCUCACCAAACAUAUUGGUGUUGAUGCUUCUUUUGUGCGCGCUGGUUUGCAGGAUCUGGUUAUUGCUCUUCAGUAUGUUCCUUCCGAGUUACAGUUGGUGGAUUUCUUUACGAAGGCCCAAACUAAAGCAAAGCACGGCUUCUAUCUCUCCAAACUCGUUGUUGAUCCACCAUGAGUUUUAG